This 1093-nucleotide ribosomal RNA is filed under the name Bacillus zhangzhouensis. RNAcentral describes it as "bacterial SSU rRNA". It matches the Rfam family "Bacterial small subunit ribosomal RNA", at positions 20 to 1093 of the family's 1533-position model. Lineage: Bacteria; Bacillati; Bacillota; Bacilli; Caryophanales; Bacillaceae. The record is from RNAcentral.
UGGCUCAGGACGAACGCUGGCGGCGUGCCUAAUACAUGCAAGUCGAGCGGACAGAAGGGAGCUUGCUCCCGGAUGUUAGCGGCGGACGGGUGAGUAACACGUGGGUAACCUGCNUGUAAGACUGGGAUAACUCCGGGAAACCGGAGCUAAUACCGGAUAGUUCCUUGAACCGCAUGGUUCAAGGAUGAAAGACGGUUUCGGCUGUCACUUACAGAUGGACCCGCGGCGCAUUAGCUAGUUGGUGGGGUAAUGGCUCACCAAGGCGACGAUGCGUAGCCGACCUGAGAGGGUGAUCGGCCACACUGGGACUGAGACACGGCCCAGACUCCUACGGGAGGCAGCAGUAGGGAAUCUUCCGCAAUGGACGAAAGUCUGACGGAGCAACGCCGCGUGAGUGAUGAAGGUUUUCGGAUCGUAAAGCUCUGUUGUUAGGGAAGAACAAGUGCGAGAGUAACUGCUCGCACCUUGACGGUACCUAACCAGAAAGCCACGGCUAACUACGUGCCAGCAGCCGCGGUAAUACGUAGGUGGCAAGCGUUGUCCGGAAUUAUUGGGCGUAAAGGGCUCGCAGGCGGUUUCUUAAAGUCUGAUGUGAAAGCCCCCGGCNUCAACCGGGGAGGGUCAUUGGAAACUGGGAAACUUGAGUGCAGAAGAGGAGAGUGGAAUUCCACGUGUAGCGGUGAAAUGCGUAGAGAUGUGGAGGAACACCAGUGGCGAAGGCGACUCUCUGGUCUGUAACUGACGCUGAGGAGCGAAAGCGUGGGGAGCGAACAGGAUUAGAUACCCUGGUAGUCCACGCCGUAAACGAUGAGUGCUAAGUGUUAGGGGGUUUCCGCCCCUUAGUGCUGCAGCUAACGCAUUAAGCACUCCGCCUGGGGAGUACGGUCGCAAGACUGAAACUCAAAGGAAUUGACGGGGGCCCGCACAAGCGGUGGAGCAUGUGGUUUAAUUCGAAGCAACGCGAAGAACCUUACCAGGUCUUGACAUCCUCUGACAACCCUAGAGAUAGGGCUUUCCCUUCGGGGACAGAGUGACAGGUGGUGCAUGGUUGUCGUCAGCUCGUGUCGUGANAUGUUGGGUUAAGUCCCGCAAC